GACGAACGCUGGCGGCGUGCUUAACACAUGCAAGUCGAACGGAAAGGCCCUGCUUUUGUGGGGUGCUCGAGUGGCGAACGGGUGAGUAACACGUGAGUAACCUGCCCUUGACUUUGGGAUAACUUCAGGAAACUGGGGCUAAUACCGGAUAGGAGCUCCUGCUGCAUGGUGGGGGUUGGAAAGUUUCGGCGGUUGGGGAUGGACUCGCGGCUUAUCAGCUUGUUGGUGGGGUAGUGGCUUACCAAGGCUUUGGCGGGUAGCCGGCCUGAGAGGGUGACCGGCCACAUUGGGACUGAGAUACGGCCCAGACUCCUACGGGAGGCAGCAGUGGGGAAUAUUGCACAAUGGGCGGAAGCCUGAUGCAGCAACGCCGCGUGCGGGAUGACGGCCUUCGGGUUGUAAACCGCUUUCGCCUGUGACGAAGCGUGAGUGACGGUAAUGGGUAAAGAAGCACCGGCUAACUACGUGCCAGCAGCCGCGGUGAUACGUAGGGUGCGAGCGUUGUCCGGAUUUAUUGGGCGUAAAGGGCUCGUAGGUGGUUGAUCGCGUCGGAAGUGUAAUCUUGGGGCUUAACCCUGAGCGUGCUUUCGAUACGGGUUGACUUGAGGAAGGUAGGGGAGAAUGGAAUUCCUGGUGGAGCGGUGGAAUGCGCAGAUAUCAGGAGGAACACCAGUGGCGAAGGCGGUUCUCUGGGCCUUUCCUGACGCUGAGGAGCGAAAGCGUGGGGAGCGAACAGGCUUAGAUACCCUGGUAGUCCACGCUGUAAACGGUGGGUACUAGGUGUGGGGUCCAUUCCACGGGUUCCGUGCCGUAGCUAACGCUUUAAGUACCCCGCCUGGGGAGUACGGCCGCAAGGCUAAAACUCAAAGGAAUUGACGGGGCCCCGCACAAGCGGCGGAGCAUGCGGAUUAAUUCGAUGCAACGCGUAGAACCUUACCUGGGUUUGACAUGGAUCGGGAGUGCUCAGAGAUGGGUGUGCCUCUUUUGGGGUCGGUUCACAGGUGGUGCAUGGCUGUCGUCAACUCGUGUCGUGAGAUGUUGGGUUAAGUCCCGCAACGAGCGCAACCCUUGUUCACUGUUGCCAGCACGUUAUGGUGGGGACUCAGUGGAGACCGCCGGGGUCAACUCGGAGGAAGGUGGGGAUGACGUCAAGUCAUCAUGCCCCUUAUGUCCAGGGCUUCACGCAUGCUACAAUGGCUGGUACAGAGAGUGGCGAGCCUGUGAGGGUGAGCGAAUCUCGGAAAGCCGGUCUCAGUUCGGAUUGGGGUCUGCAACUCGACCUCAUGAAGUCGGAGUCGCUAGUAAUCGCAGAUCAGCAACGCUGCGGUGAAUACGUUCCCGGG
This 1343-nucleotide ribosomal RNA is filed under the name uncultured bacterium. RNAcentral describes it as "16S ribosomal RNA". It matches the Rfam family "Bacterial small subunit ribosomal RNA", at positions 28 to 1378 of the family's 1533-position model. The record is from RNAcentral.